AGGCCCGAUAGCCAAGUAGUAAGGCGUCGAUCUGCAAAAUCGAUAUACGCGGGUGCAAUUCCCGCUCGGGCCUU
Molecule: transfer RNA, 74 nt
Filed under: Parcubacteria group bacterium ADurb.Bin159
Lineage: Bacteria
Description: tRNA-Cys
Rfam family: tRNA
About the family: Transfer RNA (tRNA) molecules are approximately 80 nucleotides in length. Their secondary structure includes four short double-helical elements and three loops (D, anti-codon, and T loops). Further hydrogen bonds mediate the characteristic L-shaped molecular structure. tRNAs have two regions of fundamental functional importance: the anti-codon, which is responsible for specific mRNA codon recognition, and the 3' end, to which the tRNAs corresponding amino acid is attached (by aminoacyl-tRNA synthetases). tRNAs cope with the degeneracy of the genetic code in two manners: having more than one tRNA (with a specific anti-codon) for a particular amino acid; and 'wobble' base-pairing, i.e. permitting non-standard base-pairing at the 3rd anti-codon position.
Source: RNAcentral